CCAGCAGCCGCGGUAAUUCCAGCUCCAGUAGCGUAUAUUAAAGUUGUUGCAGUUAAAAAGCUCGUAGUUGGAUUUCUGACUUCAGACACCUGACCCUCCCUCGCUAGAGGUGUGUGUGCCGGAGUGUUUGUAUCAUCCUUUCAGUGAUCGGUUCUACCCUUAACCGGGUCGGAGCUGCUAACUGGAUCUUUUACUUUGAAGAAAUUGGAGUGUUUAAAGCAGGCUUACGCCAGAACAUAUUAGCAUGGAAUAAUAAUUUAGGACUUUUGUUCUAUUUUGUUGGUUUCUAGGACGAAAGUAAUGAUUGAUAGGGAUAGUUGGGGGUGCUAGUAUUCGGCGGCCAGAGGUGAAAUUCUUUGAUCCGCUGAAGACUAACUUAUGCGAAAGCAUUCACCAAGGAUGUCUUCUUUAAUCAAGAACGAAAGU
This 426-nucleotide ribosomal RNA is filed under the name uncultured eukaryote. Its description in RNAcentral is "SSU rRNA". It matches the Rfam family "Eukaryotic small subunit ribosomal RNA", at positions 567 to 990 of the family's 1831-position model. The record is from RNAcentral.